UGGUCGGCGGACGCGGGCGGAGCGCGGCUCCGCGGAGCGCUUCCUGGGACGCCUGCGCAGUAGCGGACGCCCCCCCCCACCCCCCGCGCGCGGGCCCCCGCAGAGACUGGCGCUGCCCCGGGGCGCUCCGGAGGCUCCCAGUGCGCAGCUGCUGCGGGACGCCGCAGAGAGCGCCUGGGGCCGACCGCCGAGUGUGAGACGCGUACCCGGAUUGGAUGCCCGAGCCCGCGGUGAAUGGGACUCCCUUACCCAUUGGUUCAUUUAACGGUACCACUCGGAGACAGCCACUUGACGUUUCCACGUGUCACAGCUCUGACCUCAGCAACUGAAGUCAGAAAGAAGGCAAAGAUUGCAAGGCAGACAAAGCAAGGGUUGAGGCGGGUAGCAAACAGAAGCACAUUGUCAUGGCAAAUAUCUGCCUAGCGUGUAUGCAGAUCUAAGACCAUGGCCUAAAUCACACCAUACCAAGUGCUACUACCUCUGAAAUAUCAAACAUAAAGCUUUUUCCAGAAGGAACUGGCAUUUGCCCUAAGCACAUGAUACUGAUACUGCCUAGGAGGUAAUGUGGAUCCACCCAGAGGAAUUCUGGACGUCUUCAUUUGGAUUCGAUGUUCUAAAGUAUAUCUAUUUACCUGAGCAGAGGGGAAGUCAAGACUUCUGUUAAGCACCACAACUCCAGUGACUCUGCCUGGGGACUGGACAAGAAGCUGAAGCACUCAUCCUUUAUAUUUGUUUACUCAAGUUUUUCAAUGAAAGGCUUUGGCCAUAAAUUCAAAAAACGAA
Long non-coding RNA from Mus musculus (house mouse), 783 nucleotides. RefSeq annotates it as predicted gene, 34917. The transcript is spliced from 4 exons. NCBI's taxonomy places the organism in Eukaryota, Metazoa, Chordata, Mammalia, Rodentia, Muridae. The record is from RefSeq and is marked validated.